CAGCAGCCACGGGAAAACGAAGGGGGCUAGCGUUGCUCGGAAUGACUGGGCGUAAAGGGCGCGUAGGCGGCGGCCAAAGUCAGGCGUGAAAUUCCUGGGCUCAACCUGGGGGCUGCGCUUGAUACUUGGUUGCUUGAGUGGGGAAGAGGGUCGUGGAAUUCCCAGUGUAGAGGUGAAAUUCGUAGAUAUUGGUAAGAACACCGGUGGCGAAGGCGGCGACCUGGUCCUUGACUGACGCUGAGGCGCGAAAGCGUGGGGAGCAAACAGGAUUAGAUACCCCUGUAGUCCCUGUCUCUUAUAC
Molecule: ribosomal RNA, 301 nt
Filed under: uncultured bacterium
Lineage: Bacteria
Description: partial 16S ribosomal RNA
Rfam family: Bacterial small subunit ribosomal RNA
Source: RNAcentral